Carassius carassius (crucian carp) is the source of this 779-nucleotide long non-coding RNA. RefSeq lists it as uncharacterized. The record is from RefSeq and is a predicted model, not a curated record. NCBI's taxonomy places the organism in Eukaryota, Metazoa, Chordata, Actinopteri, Cypriniformes, Cyprinidae. The transcript is spliced from 3 exons.
AGCAAUGCCUCUUGUGGCCUCUUCUGCUGUCGUGGAGGAAUUGCUACUGGCGUGAUGCAUGUUGGACCCUGAUACACGCAAAAUGCUUAAAUUUGGUUCUUUUAACUUGGGUACAGACCAAAGCACAGAUGACUGAUUCCUGGAUGCGAGGGCUACAGCAGCCCGUGGGAUCAGUUUUGGAAUGCUGCCACCACUUGUGAAGGUUCCAGAGUCAUGUUUAUGAGAUUAAGUACCAAACUGCACUCCCAGCUCAACGGAUGACCCCAACAUCCCACCUUGAUAUCUUUCAUGAGAAAUUAAAUGCCAUUUGGAAAGGCUGUGUGUGAAUGAACAUGUUUGUAUGUUCAUAUGUGUGUAUUUAUUUGCACAAAGAUGCACAACUAGAAGCAGCUGCUGGAGCCCCUUGCUUUCAACCCACUGCGCUUGCCUCAAAUCACCCUCCAGAGAGCACCUCAUAGACAUGGUACAUCAGAGACUGCUGACUGAUCCAGACCAGCUCCCAUGAGACACACAGCACCAGUUUGUCUUCAUAUGUCAGAGCUGGUUGUUGUUGAAACUCCUUUGGCCCAAGUUAAAUAAAAAAGUGACAACAGUUGAAGAAUGUUCAACUUCACCUCCUGAAAAACGCAGCGCUCAUCACUGUCACUUUUUCAUCCGUCAGCCAUCCAAUCACAACCGCCACAUCCUCCUUGUACAACAGCAACAACAACAGAACAAAGUCAUUUUAAACAAGGGCCAGAGCAAGUACUUUAUACUGUCAACAUUUUUAUAUUCAUAUA